RNAcentral lists this non-coding RNA (31 nucleotides) under Rattus norvegicus (Norway rat). Lineage: Eukaryota; Metazoa; Chordata; Mammalia; Rodentia; Muridae. The record is from RNAcentral.
UGUUGCUUUGUGUCUUAAUUUGGUCCAUCCU